GGAGUUGUGGCUCAGCGGUAGAGCGUUUGCCUUGCAUGCAUGAGGCACUGGGUUCAAUCCUUGCACCA
Non-coding RNA from Ictidomys tridecemlineatus (thirteen-lined ground squirrel), 68 nucleotides. The record is from Rfam. NCBI's taxonomy places the organism in Eukaryota, Metazoa, Chordata, Mammalia, Rodentia, Sciuridae.